GUACGCGGAGGACAUUACCGAGUUUACAACUCCCAAACCCCUGUGAACAUACCAAUUGUUGCCUCGGCGGAUCAGCCCGCUCCCGGUAAAACGGGACGGCCCGCCAGAGGACCCCUAAACUCUGUUUCUAUAUGUAACUUCUGAGUAAAACCAUAAAUAAAUCAAAACUUUCAACAACGGAUCUCUUGGUUCUGGCAUCGAUGAAGAACGCAGCAAAAUGCGAUAAGUAAUGUGAAUUGCAGAAUUCAGUGAAUCAUCGAAUCUUUGAACGCACAUUGCGCCCGCCAGUAUUCUGGCGGGCAUGCCUGUUCGAGCGUCAUUUCAACCCUCAAGCCCCCGGGUUUGGUGUUGGGGAUCGGCGAGCCCUUGCGGCAAGCCGGCCCCGAAAUCUAGUGGCGGUCUCGCUGCAGCUUCCAUUGCGUAGUAGUAAAACCCUCGCAACUGGUACGCGGCGCGGCCAAGCCGUUAAACCCCCAACUUCUGAAUGUUGACCUCGGAUCAGGUAGGAAUACCCGCUGAACUUAAGCAUAUCAAUAAGCGGAGGAA
Molecule: ribosomal RNA, 546 nt
Filed under: Fusarium fujikuroi
Lineage: Eukaryota; Fungi; Ascomycota; Sordariomycetes; Hypocreales; Nectriaceae
Description: eukaryotic LSU rRNA
Rfam family: 5.8S ribosomal RNA (bases 166-319)
Source: RNAcentral